Non-coding RNA from Ictidomys tridecemlineatus (thirteen-lined ground squirrel), 812 nucleotides. NCBI's taxonomy places the organism in Eukaryota, Metazoa, Chordata, Mammalia, Rodentia, Sciuridae. The record is from RefSeq and is a predicted model, not a curated record.
CUGCCACAGCCUGCCCUAGUGGCUGGGCCACUGUCUGCCUUGCUCCUGUGAUCCUGAUCAGCUUUCUGCCAGGCACAGGGGGAGGCCUGCCGGGCUGCCACUCUGCUGCCUUCAGAGAGGAGCGGGCUUGGCCAGCAGCCCUGCUGGACUGUUGUGGAGUCAUGUGACAGUUGCUAUGGUGCCUAGGCAGGGAAGAGUCCUGGAGAGCCUGUGGAGAGCGCUAGACAAAGGACCGGGUAACAAAGAAGUCACAACCUCCUCCCACACCAUGGGCCACGGCUUCCAGAUCAUCAAUAGCUUCGUGAGCUGCUGGGUCCCAGCUACCAAGGAAGAAGAGGAUCAGUCAUGGAAAGUUGUAGUCAUUCAAAGCUCUCCCCCUCAACUGCUUCAUCCGGCCAAAAUAAGCUUCUUGUGAGACAGAGAGCAAGAAUGUCCAGGGCAGCGGCUGGUGGUCCAUCCGUGACCCUACAGACAGGAUUUUGCAUAUACCCUGAUUAGAGAAUUGGGGAUUCAAACACAUGUUCUGAAGCGGCUCGGUGAGGCAAACUUCACUUCUGCCCGUGGGUGCACCACGGAACCUGGUGAGCAGGCAGCCUGGGCGGCCAUCCUGCUUUGAUCCCAAGACAGCACUGCUCCUGCCCUGCUAGGAGGAGCUCAGGAAGCAAAUAGCAGAAUACAGACGGGUCCACGAAGAUGGAGCUGACCCUAGAGGAAAGAGUAGAGGUAGGAGACAACCGUCAGCAAGGCAGGGCUGGGGCUGCAGCUCAGUCGUAGCGUGCUCGCCUAGCCCACGUGAGGCACUGGGUUCGAUC